This 440-nucleotide ribosomal RNA is filed under the name uncultured bacterium. Its description in RNAcentral is "partial 16S ribosomal RNA". It matches the Rfam family "Bacterial small subunit ribosomal RNA", at positions 338 to 795 of the family's 1533-position model. The record is from RNAcentral.
CCUACGGGAGGCAGCAGUGGGGAAUAUUGCACAAUGGGGGAAACCCUGAUGCAGCGACGCCGCGUGAAGGAAGAAGUACUUCGGUAUGUAAACUUCUAUCAGCAGGGAAGAAAGUGACGGUACCUGACCAAGAAGCCCCGGCUAACUACGGUCCAGCAGCCGCGGUAAUACGUAGGGGGGACGCGUUAACCGGAUUUACUGGGUGUAAAGGGAGCGUAGGCGGCGAUGCAAGUCAGACGUGAAAGCCCGGGGCUCAACUCCGGGACUGCCUUUGAAACUGUAUGGCUAGAGUGCGGGAGAGGCAAGUGGAAUGCCUGGUGUAGCGGUGAAAUGCGUAGAUAUCAGGAGGAACACCAGUGGCGAAGGCGGCUUGCUGGACUGUAAAUGACGCUGAGGCUCGAAAGCGUGGGGAGCGAACAGGAUUAGAUACCCCUGUAGUC